Molecule: long non-coding RNA, 827 nt
Organism: Sinocyclocheilus anshuiensis
Lineage: Eukaryota; Metazoa; Chordata; Actinopteri; Cypriniformes; Cyprinidae
Exons: 4
Source: RefSeq, a predicted model, not a curated record
GGCUGAACACGUCCUUCAAAGGUUCAACCCUUCAUAGCUGAAAGGGAAGACCAAAGGAAGGCCUGUCAUGGGAUUUGAAUUUCUUGUGCGUUUAUGGAGAAGACCAAAAGCUGCAAAGUCAAACACUUCCAAUGCUGAAGACCAAAAACACAAAGAAAAUCAGUCACAGCUAGCCGGUCAAACCAGUCCUGAUGAAUGAGGAAUGAACAUGGCCUUCUUGUGCCCAAACAGAAAGACAGAGAGCUGAAAAGUUGCACAUUUCCACUGGUAUGUCUGUAUUCAAGCAAUGCAGUAAUGUGUGGUACAGCAUUGAUGUUAAUCUCUCAAAAGACAGCAUAGUUACUUCAAGUCAGCAGUUAUAAUUUUUCACAUAUACAUUGUUUAUAGCUCCUAGAAUGAGCAAAUCAGCUGUGCCAUCAUCUUUGGAAUUUGGGCAGGAAAUGACUGAAUAUGGUGAGUACUGACUCCUGCACCUGUAUUCACCAACACGAUUUCUCUAGAGUUAAUGUUGACUUAUUGUUUUGUCUGUUUGUUUAAAGGAAGAUGAAGCCAGUUGAUGAAGAUAUCAAUUCAGUGGCCACCAAGGGCUGCACUGCUGCCUGAACCCAUCAGUUAUCUGCUGUGAAGACUGCAUUCGCAAACAGCUCUACUGUGACAGCUCAGAUGUUACAGCCCAUAAAAGUAAACUUCACAACUGAACAACUGCAAGAUAGUUGUGGAGGGAUUCUUUUGGCCCAUACCUCCAACAACCUCCCAACAAGAAUCAAUGGACAUCUACACCAGGUGAUGUGUGAGGAAAGCACAGAGGACCGUAAGAGACUCCAACC